AGAGUUUGAUCCUGGCUCAGAUUGAACGCUGGCGGAAUGCUUUACACGUGCAAGUCGAACGAUGAACCUUAGCUUGCUAAGGGGAUUAGUGGCGAACGGGUGAGUAAUAUAUCGGAACGUACCUUGUAAUGGGGGAUAACUAGUCGAAAGAUUAGCUAAUACCGCAUACGCCCUGAGGGGGAAAGUAGGGGAUCUUCGGACCUUACGUUAUAAGAGCGGCCGAUAUCUGAUUAGCUAGUUGGUGGGGUAAUGGCCUACCAAGGCGACGAUCAGUAGCUGGUCUGAGAGGACGACCAGCCACACUGGAACUGAGACACGGUCCAGACUCCUACGGGAGGCAGCAGUGGGGAAUUUUGGACAAUGGGCGCAAGCCUGAUCCAGCCAUUCCGCGUGAGUGAAGAAGGCCUUCGGGUUGUAAAGCUCUUUCGCAAGGGAAGAAAACUUACCAUCGUGCCAGCAGCCGCGGUAAUACGUAGGGUGCGAGCGUUAAUCGGAAUUACUGGGCGUAAAGCGUGCGCAGGCGGUUUUGUAAGUCAGAUGUGAAAUCCCCGAGCUCAACUUGGGAACUGCGUUUGAAACUACAAGACUAGAAUAUGUCAGAGGGGGGUAGAAUUCCACGUGUAGCAGUGAAAUGCGUAGAGAUGUGGAGGAAUACCAAUGGCGAAGGCAGCCCCCUGGGAUAAUAUUGACGCUCAUGCACGAAAGCGUGGGGAGCAAACAGGAUUAGAUACCCUGGUAGUCCACGCCCUAAACGAUGUCUACUAGUUGUUUGGUGGGAGUAAAAUCCAUGAGUAACGCAGCUAACGCGUGAAGUAGACCGCCUGGGGAGUACGGU
RNAcentral lists this ribosomal RNA (835 nucleotides) under uncultured bacterium. RNAcentral's name for it is "bacterial SSU rRNA". It matches the Rfam family "Bacterial small subunit ribosomal RNA", at positions 8 to 886 of the family's 1533-position model. The record is from RNAcentral.